GGUCAAGCGAAUAAGCGCACACGGUGGAUGCCUUGGCGGUCAGAGGCGAUGAAGGACGUGGCAGCCUGCGAAAAGUAUCGGGGAGCUGGCAACAAGCUUUGAUCCGGUAAUGUCCGAAUGGGGAAACCCACCCGCUUGCGGGUAUCCUGCAGUGAAUACAUAGCUGCUGGAAGCGAACCUGGUGAACUGAAAUAUCUAAGUAACCAGAGGAAAAGAAAUCAACCGAGAUUCCGUAAGUAGCGACGAGCGAACGCGGACUAGCCCUUAAGCUGAUUUGGUUCUAGGAAAACGCUCUGGAAAGAGCGGCCAUAGAAGGUGAUAGCCCUGUAUCUGAAAGGGCCAUUUCAGUGAAGACGAGUAGGGCGGGGCACGUGAAACCCUGUCUGAACAUGGGGGGACCAUCCUCCAAGGCUAAAUACUACUGACCGACCGAUAGUGAACCAGUACCGUGAGGGAAAGGCGAAAAGAACCCCGGAGAGGGGAGUGAAAUAGAUCCUGAAACCGUGUGCGUACAAGCAGUAGGAGCCUCGCAAGGGGUGACUGCGUACCUUUUGUAUAAUGGGUCAGCGACUUACUGUUCGUGGCAAGCUUAACCGUAUAGGGGAGGCGAAGGGAAACCGAGUCUGAUAAGGGCGCAUAGUCGCGGGCAGUAGACCCGAAACCGGGUGAUCUAGUCAUGGCCAGGGUGAAGGUGCCGUAACAGGUACUGGAGGCCCGAACCCACGUCUGUUGCAAAAGACGGGGAUGAGCUGUGAUUAGGAGUGAAAAGCUAAUCGAACCCGGAGAUAGCUGGUUCUCCUCGAAAGCUAUUUAGGUAGCGCCUCAUAUGUAUCCUCUCGGGGGUAGAGCACUGUUAUGGCUAGGGGUCAUCGCGACUUACCAAACCAUUGCAAACUCCGAAUACCGAGACGGACUGUAUGGGAGACACACGGCGGGUGCUAACGUCCGUCGUGAAAAGGGAAACAACCCAGACCCACAGCUAAGGUCCCAAAUUUUGUGCUAAGUGGAAAACCAUGUGGAAAGGCACAGACAGCCAGGAGGUUGGCUUAGAAGCAGCCACCCUUUAAAGAAAGCGUAAUAGCUCACUGGUCGAGUCGGUCUGCGGGGAAGAUUUAACGGGGCUAAGCACAGAACCGAAGCUUGGGGUGUGCAUAUUUAUAUGUACGCGGUAGAGGAGCGUUCCGUAAGCCGUUGAAGGUGGAUUGAGAAGUCUGCUGGAGGUAUCGGAAGUGCGAAUGCUGACAUGAGUAACGAUAAUGCGGGUGAAAAACCCGCACGCCGAAAGCCCAAGGUUUCCUUGCGCAACGUUAAUCGGCGCAGGGUGAGUCGGCCCCUAAGGCGAGGACGAAAGUCGUAGUCGAUGGGAAGCAGGUUAAUAUUCCUGCACCUCGCGUAAGUGCGAUGGAGGGACGGAGAAGGUUAGGCGUACCGGGCGUUGGUUGUCCCGGGGAAAGGCGGUAGGUUUGGAUCUUUGGCAAAUCCGGGAUCCUCUAAGACCGAGCACCGAGACGAGCCUUUAUGGCGAAGUCGCUGAUACCACGCUUCCAGGAAAAGCUCCUAAGCUUCAGCUUACGCAGACCGUACCGUAAACCGACACAGGUGGGUAGGAUGAGAAUUCUCAGGCGCUUGAGAGAACUCGGGUGAAGGAACUAGGCAACAUGGCACCGUAACUUCGGGAGAAGGUGCACCCUUUUUGGUGGCUCGUGCGAGCUAUAGCUGAAGAGGGUCGCAGUAACCAGGCCGCUGCGACUGUUUAUCAAAAACACAGCACUCUGCAAACACGAAAGUGGACGUAUAGGGUGUGACGCCUGCCCGGUGCUGGAAGGUUAAUUGAUGGGGUCAGCCGCAAGGCGAAGCUCUUGAUCGAAGCCCCAGUAAACGGCGGCCGUAACUAUAACGGUCCUAAGGUAGCGAAAUUCCUUGUCGGGUAAGUUCCGACCUGCACGAAUGGCGUAACGACAGCGGCGCUGUCUCCACCCGAGACUCAGUGAAAUUGAAAUCGCUGUGAAGAUGCAGCGUUCCCGUGGCAAGACGGAAAGACCCCGUGAACCUUUACUAUAGCUUUACACUGAACGUUGAGUUCGUCUGUGUAGGAUAGGUGGGAGGCUAUGAAACCAUGGCGCUAGCUGUGGCGGAGCCAUCCUUGAAAUACCACCCUGUCGUGCUUGACGUUCUAACCUGGGCCCAUUAUCUGGGUCGGGGACCGUGUAUGGUGGGUAGUUUGACUGGGGCGGUCUCCUCCUAAAGAGUAACGGAGGAGCUCGAAGGUACGCUCAGCGCGGUCGGACAUCGCGCACUGUGUGCAAAGGCAUAAGCGUGCUUGACUGCAAGAUCGACGGAUCAAGCAGGUAGGAAACUAGGACUUAGUGAUCCGGUGGUUCUGUAUGGAAGGGCCAUCGCUCAACGGAUAAAAGGUACUCCGGGGAUAACAGGCUGAUACCGCCCAAGAGUUCAUAUCGACGGCGGUGUUUGGCACCUCGAUGUCGGCUCAUCACAUCCUGGGGCUGUAGUCGGUCCCAAGGGUAUGGCUGUUCGCCAUUUAAAGUGGUACGCGAGCUGGGUUCAGAACGUCGUGAGACAGUUCGGUCCCUAUCUGCCAUGGGCGUUGGAGAUUUGAGAGGGGCUGCUCCUAGUACGAGAGGACCGGAGUGGACGAACCUCUGGUGUUCCGGUUGUCACGCCAGUGGCAUUGCCGGGUAGCUAUGUUCGGAAGCGAUAACCGCUGAAAGCAUCUAAGCGGGAAGCGCGCCUCAAGAUGAGAUCUCCCGGGGCACAAGCCCCCUGAAGGAACCAUGUAGACUACGUGGUUGAUAGGUCAGGUGUGUAAGUACAGCAAUGUAUUGAGCUAACUGAUACUAAUGAUCCGAGAGGCUUGACCAU
Molecule: ribosomal RNA, 2880 nt
Filed under: Stenotrophomonas sp. DR822
Lineage: Bacteria; Pseudomonadati; Pseudomonadota; Gammaproteobacteria; Lysobacterales; Lysobacteraceae
Description: 23S ribosomal RNA
Rfam family: Bacterial large subunit ribosomal RNA
Source: RNAcentral